RNAcentral lists this transfer RNA (73 nucleotides) under Actinobacteria bacterium 13_1_20CM_4_69_9. Its description in RNAcentral is "tRNA-Lys". It matches the Rfam family "tRNA". Rfam says of the family: Transfer RNA (tRNA) molecules are approximately 80 nucleotides in length. The record is from RNAcentral. Lineage: Bacteria; Bacillati; Actinomycetota. RNAcentral also lists the same sequence under 3 other names.
GGGCCGGUAGCUCAGUUGGUAGAGCAGGGGACUUUUAAUCCCAAGGUCGCAGGUUCGAGACCUGCCCGGCCCA